CCUACGGGAGGCAGCAGUGGGGAAUAUUGGACAAUGGGCGCAAGCCUGAUCCAGCAAUGCCGCGUGAGUGAUGAAGGCCUUAGGGUCGUAAAGCUCUUUUACCAGGGAUGAUAAUGACAGUACCUGGAGAAUAAGCUCCGGCUAACUCCGUGCCAGCAGCCGCGGUAAUACGGAGGGAGCUAGCGUUGUUCGGAAUUACUGGGCGUAAAGCGUACGUAGGCGGUUAUUCAAGUCAGAGGUGAAAGCCCGGGGCUCAACCCCGGAACGGCCUUUGAAACUAGGUAGCUAGAAUCUUGGAGAGGUCAGUGGAAUUCCGAGUGUAGAGGUGAAAUUCGUAGAUAUUCGGAAGAACACCAGUGGCGAAGGCGACUGACUGGACAAGUAUUGACGCUGAGGUACGAAAGCGUGGGGAGCAAACAGGAUUAGAUACCCUGGUAGUCCACGCCGUAAACGAUGAUAACUAGCUGUUCGGGCACUUGGUGCUUGAGUGGCGCAGCUACGACAUUAAGUUAUCCGUCCGUCGGGUAGGUACGGUCGCGAGAAGUUAAACGUAACGAAAGGAAAGUUAGUAACGGUCGUGUUAGACGUGCCGAACGGACGACGACGAGGGAGGAGG
Molecule: ribosomal RNA, 616 nt
Filed under: uncultured bacterium
Lineage: Bacteria
Description: bacterial SSU rRNA
Rfam family: Bacterial small subunit ribosomal RNA (bases 1-518)
Source: RNAcentral